This 255-nucleotide long non-coding RNA is filed under the name Panax ginseng (ginseng). RNAcentral's name for it is "long non-coding RNA (PGIN_LNC004778)". Lineage: Eukaryota; Viridiplantae; Streptophyta; Magnoliopsida; Apiales; Araliaceae. The record is from RNAcentral.
CAUGUCCCCCGGUUCUCCUUUAUCUUGUGGUUGGGAUUUCUUAGAAAACUUCCUACUAAUGAUAUUACUAGGCACUACUUGUCUGGCAGAACUUCCUCCUGCCCUCUCUGUCAGCGACAUGAUGAAAGUUUUGACCAUCUAUUUUUUGAAUGCCCAUACUCCUCCUCCAUUCUGCAGAAAACUCUUACAUUGGGUGAGUGGUCUAACGUACCCAUGGAAUGGACUGGUGUCUCUUCGUUCAUCAUCUCCUUCCAA